GCAAGUCGAGCGGAAACGAUGAAGAGCUUGCUCUUUAGGCGUCGAGCGGCGGACGGGUGAGUAAUGCUUGGGAAUAUGCCUUAUGGUGGGGGACAACAGUUGGAAACGACUGCUAAUACCGCAUAACGUCUACGGACCAAAGGGGGGGAUCUUCGGACCUUUCGCCUUUAGAUUAGCCCAAGUGAGAUUAGCUAGAUGGUGGGGUAAUGGCCUACCAUGGCGACGAUCUCUAGCUGGUUUGAGAGGAUGAUC
RNAcentral lists this ribosomal RNA (252 nucleotides) under uncultured bacterium. RNAcentral's name for it is "partial 16S ribosomal RNA". It matches the Rfam family "Bacterial small subunit ribosomal RNA", at positions 57 to 305 of the family's 1533-position model. The record is from RNAcentral.